This 1989-nucleotide ribosomal RNA is filed under the name Galeopterus variegatus (Sunda flying lemur). RNAcentral describes it as "eukaryotic LSU rRNA". The stretch from base 1026 to 1738 matches the Rfam family "Eukaryotic large subunit ribosomal RNA", at positions 675 to 1445 of the family's 3401-position model. The record is from RNAcentral. Lineage: Eukaryota; Metazoa; Chordata; Mammalia; Dermoptera; Cynocephalidae.
GGGUUCACCCCAAGAGAGGGGCCUGUGCCUUGGAAAGUAUGGUAGUUCUUGUGGUGUCUAGUGAGCUCUCACUGGCCCUUGAAAAUCUGGAGGAGAGGGUGCAAAUCUUGCACUGUGCCAUCCCUGUAUCUGUAAUAGGUCUCUUUUGAUUGUUUUGUGUAUCCUUUGUUCCUUUCUUAUCAUUUGUCCUCGUGGUUUGGUGGUUUUCUGUAUCAAUUAGGUUUUAUUCUGUUCCCUUUCUAAUUUGUGUAUCUAUCUACCAGUAAACUUCAUAUUUUCAAGUGUUCUCAUCAUGGUUAUUAUCAUUCUUUCUUUUCUAAAUGUAGGGCCCCCAUAAGCAUUUCAUGUAAGGCCAGACUGGUGUUGAUGAAUUUCCUUAAUUUGUGUUUGUCUGAGAAAGACUUUAUUUUUCCUUCAUUUCUGAAGGAUAGGAUUUUUUUUGUCCUUUUUGAGACCGGCCGCACCGCGCUCAGCCAGUGAGUGCUGUGAGUGCACCGGUCAUCCCUAUAUAGGAUCCGAACCCGCGGCGGGAGUGCUGUCACGCUUCCAGCGCUGCACUCUCCCGAGUGCGCCACGGGCUCGGCCCCUGAAGGAUAGUUUUGCUGGGUAUAAUAUUCUUGGCUGGCAGUUUUGGGUCUUUCAGUACUUUGAAAGUAUCAUCCCAUUCUCUCCUGACCUGUAGUAUUUCUGCUGAGAGAUCUGCUGUUAUUGUAAUGGGGAUUCUCUUAUAAGUUACUUAAUGUUUUUCUUUUCCUGUUUUCAGAAUUCUCUCUUUGUAUUUAACUUUCUAUAGUUUGACUGUGAUGCCUGGUCCAGCCUUCUGUGCACAGCUCAGUCUCACCAUUCUGGUGGAUAAUGGGCAAGGUGAUCAUAGCAAAAUGUCAGAGCUGAGGAAAGGAAAAAUGUCAGUCAUCUGACCAGACAGAGGCUAAAACUUGGGUCUGGGGCCAUCAGGUACUCAGCAGAAUGGGAGAAACUGGGAUCCAAGUGAAGUUCUGUCUCACAAUAGUCUAAACCCAGCUCACAUUCCCUAUUAGUGGGUGAACAAUCCAAUGCUUGGUGAAUUCUACUUUACAAUGAUAGGAAGAGCUGACAUCAAAUGAUCAAACUACGAACUAUGCCUGGGCAGCGUGAAGCCAGAGGAAACUCUGGUAGAGGUUCAUAGCAUGACAUGCAAAUCAGUCAUCUGACCUGCGUGUAGGGGUGAGAGACUAAUCAAACUAUCUAGUAGCUGGUUCACUCUGAAGUUUCCCUCAGGAUAGCUGGCACUCUCACAUGAGGAAAACCGCACAUAAUUUUAUCCAGUAAAGCGAAUGAUUAGAGAUCUUUGGGACAAAACAACCUCAACCAAUUCUAAACUUUAAAUGGGUGAGAAGUCUGCUUGUGGAGUUGGCCAUGAAUUGCAAGUGCCUGGUGUGCCACUUUUAGUAAGCAGAACUGGCACUGUGGGAUUAACUGAAUUCCGGGUUAAGGCACCAGAUGCAGAUGCUCAUCAGACCCCAGAAAAGGUGUUGGUUGAUAUAGACAGUAUGAUGGUGGUUACAGAAGUCAGAAUCUGCUAAGUAGUGUGUAACUCACCUGCCAAACCAAAUAGCCCUGAAAAUGGGUGGUGCUGGAGCAUUGGGCCCAUACUCAGCUGUUGCCAGCAGAGGGUUGAGAAAGGUGAUGGGAGCAUGGGGUGAGGUGGGUCUGUUGCUCAGUCUUGGCUGGUGGCUGGCCUUGCAGUUAUUCCUCUGUCCAAGAGAGGGAGCAAGAGAGAGGAAGCAAGAGAGAGAGAGAGAGAGAGAGAGAGAGAGAGAGAGAGAGAGAGGAGGUGACAGGGUCCUUUAAAAAACAAGCUCUUGUGGAAAGUAAUAGAUCGAGAACUCACUCAUUACUCCCUCCUCCCCCAGGGAGAGCAUUAAUCCAUUCAUGAAGGAUCCUCCCCCAUGAUUCGAUCAGUUUCCAACACUGUCACAUUGGGGAUCAAAUUUCCACAUGAGUUUUGGA